AAUCUUCCACAAUGGGCGAAAGCCUGAUGGAGCAACGCCGCGUGAGUGAAGAAGGUUUNCGGAUCNUNAAACUCUGUUGUAAGGGNCGAACAAGUACAGUAGUAACUGGCUGUACCUUGACGGUACCUUAUUAGAAAGCCACGGCUAACUACGUUGCAGCAGCCGCGGUAAUACGUAGGCGGCAAGCGUUGUCCGGAAUUAUUGGGCGUAAAGCGCGCGCAGGCGGUACUUUAAGUCUGAUAUGAAAGCCAACAGCUAAACCGUGGAGGGUCAUUGGAAACUGGGGGACUUGAGUGCAGAAGAGGAAAGUGGAAUUCCAAGUGCAGCGGUGAAAUGCGUAGAGAUUUGGAGGAACACCAGUGGCGAAGGCGACUUUCUGGUCUGUAACUGACGCUGAGGCGCGAAAGCGUGGGGAGCAAACA
RNAcentral lists this ribosomal RNA (422 nucleotides) under uncultured bacterium. RNAcentral describes it as "partial 16S ribosomal RNA". It matches the Rfam family "Bacterial small subunit ribosomal RNA", at positions 360 to 774 of the family's 1533-position model. The record is from RNAcentral.